CUCUCACAACUUGAGCUCAAUUUUAUUCCGGAGCCAUGACCUGCAGCACAUUGGUGACCAGAAGACGCCCAAAGCUUUGAAAAUGGACUUAUCGACCUCAAACCAAUGGGACAUAUUCCUACAUGGCCUUCUCCCCUGUUAGGGUUCCCAGGGUAUGUCUUUAAUGUCUGGUUUAAUAGAAGAAGACUUGGUUCUCCUUUCUGCUUCUAUGUUUAAUUUCUUGUGACAUCCCACGUCAGGUAGCUGGGAAACUCCAAUUAUACUUGUGAGAGAAUGAAAGUGGAAAAGAUGUGCCUGAGACAGGUUUGACCAGGCAACUGAAAAGAUAUCCCUAAGAGAAGACAAAGCAAAGGUAUGAAAGGAACACACGUCCCUGACUGACUAGGAGGAACAGAGCUGCCUGCUGUCUGGAACCGCUUCCUCCCAGACUAAGAGAGAAAUAAACUUCUGUUUUCUAUAU
This 460-nucleotide long non-coding RNA is filed under the name Homo sapiens (human). Its description in RNAcentral is "non-protein coding FAM242A:10". Lineage: Eukaryota; Metazoa; Chordata; Mammalia; Primates; Hominidae. The record is from RNAcentral.